Molecule: ribosomal RNA, 484 nt
Filed under: uncultured bacterium
Lineage: Bacteria
Description: partial 16S ribosomal RNA
Rfam family: Bacterial small subunit ribosomal RNA
Source: RNAcentral
AUUGAACGCUGGCGGCAUGCUUUACACAUGCAAGUCGAACGGCAGCGCGGGCUUCGGCCUGGCGGCGAGUGGCGAACGGGUGAGUAAUGCAUCGGAACGUGCCCAGUAGUGGGGGAUAGCCCGGCGAAAGCCGGAUUAAUACCGCAUACGACCUGAGGGUGAAAGCGGGGGACCGAAAGGCCUCGCGCUAUUGGAGCGGCCGAUGUCGGAUUAGCUAGUUGGUGGGGUAAAGGCUUACCAAGGCGACGAUCCGUAGCUGGUCUGAGAGGACGACCAGCCACACUGGGACUGAGACACGGCCCAGACUACUACGGGAGGCAGCAGUGGGGAAUUUUGGAGAAUGGGGGCAACCCUGAUCAAGCCAUGCCGCGUGCGGGAAGAAGGCCUUCGGGUUGUAAACGGCUUUUGUUCGGGAAGAAAGCCUCUGGGAUAAUACCCAGGGGGGAUGACGGUACCGGAAGAAUAAGCACCGGCUAACUACGUG